This 254-nucleotide ribosomal RNA is filed under the name uncultured bacterium. RNAcentral describes it as "partial 16S ribosomal RNA". It matches the Rfam family "Bacterial small subunit ribosomal RNA", at positions 524 to 776 of the family's 1533-position model. The record is from RNAcentral.
UACGAAGGGGGCUAGCGUUGUUCGGAUUUACUGGGCGUAAAGCGCACGUAGGCGGAUCUUUUAAGUCAGAGGUGAAAUCCCGGAGCUCAACUUCGGAACUGCCUUUGAUACUGGGGAUCUCGAGUUCGGGAGAGGUGAGUGGAACUGCGAGUGUAGAGGUGAAAUUCGUAGAUAUUCGCAAGAACACCAGUGGCGAAGGCGGCUCACUGGCCCGAUACUGACGCUGAGGAGCGAAAGCGUGGGGAGCGAACAGG